AUGCCACAUGAACACUUGAUCAAGACGAUAAUAACUAUCUGGGCGAUUUGGACAGCGCGCCGUAAAGCUAUGCAUGAAGGAAUUCUCCGGAGUCCUCAUGCCACUAAUUCUAUCAAUAGUAUCAUCGCGAAGUUAGCAGACAUCCAGGAACCAAAACAGGAAAAGAUUCAUCAUGCGAGCUCAUCAACUAGGAGACCAAAUGCGGGGUACGUGUGGAAGGCGCCUAGUCCGGGCAUGGCGAAAAUACAUGUUGAUGGCGGUUUGUCGACGAAUGGAAACGUGGGAGCUUCAGCAGCGGUAUGCCGAGACCAUGAUGGGAAUUUUCUGGGAUCCUCGGCAAUGGUUUUCAGCGAUAUACACAACCCGACAACAUUGGAAGUACUUCCUUGCAGAGAAGCGUUAGCUCUAGCGCUUGAUCUCUCCUUAAGGUGA
Molecule: ribosomal RNA, 432 nt
Filed under: Triticum aestivum (bread wheat)
Lineage: Eukaryota; Viridiplantae; Streptophyta; Magnoliopsida; Poales; Poaceae
Description: partial small subunit ribosomal RNA
Source: RNAcentral